GCAGUGCGCGCAGGCGCUGAGAGCAGCUGGUCUGGGGUCGGGGCUGCUGGCGGUUUGGUCUGGCUCUAGGUCUGCCCGGGCCUUUCAGGAUUCGGCCGCCCGACCUGGGCCUGGGGCCGUGACAGAGGCGCUGGGGAGCUGUGGGGGCCACGAGGUCGUGCGGGGUGCGGACUCGACACCGCCCGCGGGCGGGCAGCUACUGCACCCGGCACAUCCCCUGGGUGGGCUGGUGCAGACCAGAAGAUCAGCGAGACGUCUCCGUAGCCCGAUGCCAGCCCGAGCCCGGAGAGCAGCUCCGGACUGGGCGGGGCAGGGAGAGGAGCCGCCGCGACGGUGGACACUGCCUCUCCGUCCCAGGGCGCUAGGCAGGGGUCCCCGUCCUCCCGGACGCGUGACCACGGGCCCCAGGCCUGGUAGGGCGUUAACACCUCGGAGGCGUCCGGACGCACACGCGCCGUGGGUUCUCCGUCACUGCAAUCCUCCAGGACUUUAACGCGGGGUUUUUUCCCCCUACUAGUCUGCCGUUGGGAAGGGUUUUAGCAUCUCACCAAGUUGGGCUCACGGUUCUUAACUCCCGAAGUUUUCUGUCGUUUAACUUCAUUUGGUUCUCAGCUUUUUGGAAUGACUGUGGAAUUGUACGGUGGGGUGGGAAUGCGGUUCUGGAAAGAAGGUCUUUGAGCGGAUAUUUCUCUCAUUAGAAAAUUCCUGCCGGUCCGCAAUGCAGAGUCCUAGUCCGCGGAGCCAGAGCGACGUAGAAGAUCUGGUAUGGGUCCUGAACUGCGAGGGAAAUGGUCCUCACUGAAAGAAACACUGUUCUAAACUCUUCGUUCCUGGAGAGCGGGUGCUCUGUUCACGUCCUGCCCCACCGUGUCCCCAAUCAAAGCUCCUGCCACGUUGCAGGUGCACCUCCAAUAAGCAGCUGUACCCCGGAUGAAGACCCAUCCUUUAUGUUCCUACCCAAUACUUAAGUCCUUGUGUGAGCAACAGGUCCUGAAGACAGAGUGAGACAGGGAUGGAGGCCACAGUCACAAUCCCUGCCAGGUGAGGCACAGUCAGGCCUCUCAGGCCCUCUCCACCAUCUGUUUUGGGAGCUGCCUCCCUGUUCCAGACCUGUGCUCCUCUCCCCCCUGGUACCUCCUCCAGGGAUGGAUCCUGAGACAGAACAACAGGGGACAGAGUCCAUGAGGCCCAGCUCUGAACACUAACAUUCAUGAUGAAUAUUGAAGUAAGGGAUGUUCUGUAUAAUGCUUCCCAACUACUUUUUGUAAACCAACAUUUAUUUAAAGACAUGAAUCUUGUAACUAGAGUAAGUUAAGCUCUUGGUACACAGAAAUAGAGAAUAUGUUUCAACUGUUCCUCCUUGUGAGACCAUUCAUAAGCACUCUGUUAGGGGACCUCCAUAGCCAGCUCCAACCAAUACUGUCCUUCCCUGUCCAGAAACACUGGAGAAGGAAGUUGUGAGCUUGGGAAAUUCACAUCCAAAUGAACCUCGUUUAUAAAUAUCCUGCAAGUUACACUUCUGUCCAGCUGCAGUUUGAAUGAUUGUAUAAUCACUAUAAUGGUGAAACCAAAUGAGAGAAAAUUCAGUAUCGGUUCAUAAGAAAAAGUUGAUGUUUCUGGAUUGAUAGGAGAUACUAGCUCAAUCCUGAGAUCACAUGACUUGUGAGACUUUACUAAUAAAAUUCAUGUUUAUGUUGUGUA
This is a long non-coding RNA of Mustela lutreola (European mink), 1701 nucleotides long. RefSeq lists it as uncharacterized. The transcript has 2 exons. Lineage: Eukaryota; Metazoa; Chordata; Mammalia; Carnivora; Mustelidae. The record is from RefSeq and is a predicted model, not a curated record.